Molecule: long non-coding RNA, 1657 nt
Filed under: Pan paniscus (pygmy chimpanzee)
Lineage: Eukaryota; Metazoa; Chordata; Mammalia; Primates; Hominidae
Description: lncRNA (ENSPPAG00000044818.1)
Source: RNAcentral
GGGGAUGCUGCUGAUGGACUACUGAUGCUGAUGGGUACUGACAAGCACCAGACCUGGAGAAGCAAUUCUUUACACCAGGAUGAACAAACAGAAAGGACAUCAUGAUGGAAGCCGUGGGUGUAUUUUGAAUGCAGCAGAAAGGAAAUGUUAGCCCCACACUUAAUGGGAGAUAUAGUGGUUUUUUCACUGGCUGUGGGAUUUCACAUAGAGGCAAGAAUGUGCACACUCUCCGAUCACAGAAAACUGACUUAUCACGGGAGGAGGCAGACGGCUCAGAAAGAAGCCGCCUCGCCUCCGCAGUGCCACUUCUGCUGCCCCCAGCCACCGGCACAGCUGAGUCAAGGUACAACCGCCCAGCAACGCUUUCCAGCAGGGAACGUUGCCCUGAACAGCUCUGACUGUUGAGCGCACGUUAGAAGGCGCCACGCUAGCGCAUUCCCCUGCGGUAUUUGAAACGACUCCUGUUACAUUUGUUGGAGGAAUGAGUCAGCAACCCUGAGAGGCUGUGACUCUUGCACCCUUUCCUGGCUCUGCCCUGUGGCCAGCUCCGAGGGCAGCAGGGAGAUAUUUUAUAUCAGCACGACCCCAAGGCUUGCCUCUGAGCAGCAGCAGCAGGAGCACCGGCCCACCCUAGGCAGAGCCAGGGUCUGUUCUGGCUCUGACACUUUACAGCCAUGUGGCCCGGGAUAAUCUUUCUCAUUCCCAGUUUCCCUGUUUUUAGUAGAGGGGUGAUAACGUCCACCUCCUUCACGAGCUUGUCCUAAGAAGCCCAGGAAGUAUGAAUGGGAGCGAGGCUGUCACGGGUUGUGUAGUCCGAUGGAGGCGGGGGUGAUCCUUGACUUGACCCAUAGCAGGUGUCCACUGAGUAUGUCCUGAUCCAAUCCGUGCCCUGCACUGCUGCUUCUCCCUACCACCAUUUCUCUCCACGUGCAAGGACAGGAGGCCACUCCAGCUUUCCCCUGUGAGGAAUUUCAGUAAACGUUCUCAGGGACACCAGUCCACGGGGUCCGGAUCCAAGUGCGCUGUUAUCCUCAAAUCCAGUCCACAGGGUCCAGAUCCGAGUGCGCUGUUAUCCUCAAAUCCAGUCCACGGGGUCCGGAUCCGAGUGCGCUGUUAUCCCCAAACAGUGUUGCAAUCCCUUUCCUGGUUGAAGUCAGGUGGACUCUGUUAUACUAAGAAGUCUCUGUGUUUGUGCUGCUUUGGAAACGCCUUAGUUCAUCCUAGCUUGGCAUCCCUGAGAGCAUCGUCUGCACCAUCCUCUCUGCAGACCCCUCCUGUUUCCCUGCAAAGCCCCUCCUCGCGAAUUAAAAAGAAAAGAAAAAAACAAAAACAAAAACAAAAAACAAAUGAAGAAGCAACUGGUACGAGCAGAUUUGGUGCAAGAGAACCAAUCGCAGGAGCCGCCCAAGCUCACUUAGGAAAAGAGCUGAGCGACUGCAGCUGCACCCAGAAGGUGGAGACCGCAUGUGAACCCAGGAUCCCAGGCAGCACAAGGCUAGAGACCCUGCAAGCAGCCAUGGCUGUGCGUUCAAGCGGAGCAUCAUCACAGCCAACACGGUCUUCCUCCUGGUUAACCAAGAUCCCGUUUCAGCCAUUCUGGAAUUGCAGGGCUGGCCAGAACUUUAGGAACAAUACGUGCAAUGCCUUCAUUUUGUGA